RNAcentral lists this ribosomal RNA (405 nucleotides) under uncultured bacterium. RNAcentral describes it as "bacterial SSU rRNA". It matches the Rfam family "Bacterial small subunit ribosomal RNA", at positions 355 to 757 of the family's 1533-position model. The record is from RNAcentral.
UAAGGAAUAUUGGUCAAUGGGCGCAAGCCUGAACCAGCCAUGCCGCGUGCAGGAAGACGGCCCUAUGGGUUGUAAACUGCUUUUGUCAGGGAAUAAACCCCCGCUCGUGAGCGGGGCUGAAGGUACCUGAAGAAUAAGCAUCGGCUAACUCCGUGCCAGCAGCCGCGGUAAUACGGAGGAUGCAAGCGUUAUCCGGAUUCAUUGGGUUUAAAGGGUGCGCAGGCGGAUUGGUAAGUCAGGGGUGAAAUCCCACAGCUCAACUGUGGACCUGCAUUGGAUACGGUAGGCCUAGAGUAUGGUUGAAGUGGGCGGAUUGUGUCAUGUAGCGGUGAAAUGCUAAGAUAUGACACAGAACACCGAUCGCGAAGGCAGCUCGCUAAGCUAUAACUGACGCUCAUGCACGAA